GGAUGAGUUGCGAACGGGUGAGUAACGCGUAGGUAACCUGCCUCUUAGCGGGGGAUAACUAUUGGAAACGAUAGCUAAUACCGCAUAAAAGUCGACAUUGCAUGAUGUUGACUUGAAAGGUGCAACUGCAUCACUAAGAGAUGGACCUGCGUUGUAUUAGCUAGUUGGUGAGGUAACGGCUCACCAAGGCGACGAUACAUAGCCGACCUGAGAGGGUGAUCGGCCACACUGGGACUGAGACACGGCCCAGACUCCUACGGGAGGCAGCAGUAGGGAAUCUUCGGCAAUGGACGGAAGUCUGACCGAGCAACGCCGCGUGAGUGAAGAAGGUUUUCGGAUCGUAAAGCUCUGUUGUAAGUGAAGAACGAGUGUGAGAGUGGAAAGUUCACACUGUGACGGUAACUUACCAGAAAGGGACGGCUAACUACGUGCCAGCAGCCGCGGUAAUACGUAGGUCCCGAGCGUUAUCCGGAUUUAUUGGGCGUAAAGCGAGCGCAGGCGGUUAGAUAAGUCUGAAGUUAAAGGCUGUGGCUUAACCAUAGUACGCUUUGGAAACUGUUUAACUUGAGUGCAGAAGGGGAGAGUGGAAUUCCAUGUGUAGCGGUGAAAUGCGUAGAUAUAUGGAGGAACACCGGUGGCGAAAGCGGCUCUCUGGUCUGU
Molecule: ribosomal RNA, 660 nt
Filed under: uncultured Bacilli bacterium
Lineage: Bacteria; Bacillati; Bacillota; Bacilli
Description: bacterial SSU rRNA
Rfam family: Bacterial small subunit ribosomal RNA
Source: RNAcentral